AUACGUACUGUGCGAACGUUAUUCGGAAUCACUGGGCUUAAAGGGUGCGUAGGCGGCCGAUUAAGUAGGGUGUGAAAGGCUCCGGCUCAACCGGAGCACUGCGCUCUAAACUGAUCGGCUUGAGUGAGAUAGAGGUGUGCGGAACUUCCAGUGGAGCGGUGAAAUGCGUUGAUAUUGGAAGGAACGCCGGUGGCGAAAGCGGCACACUGGGUCUCAACUGACGCUGAGGCACGAAAGCCAGGGGAGCGAACGGGAGUAGAAACCCCUGUAGUCC
This 274-nucleotide ribosomal RNA is filed under the name uncultured bacterium. Its description in RNAcentral is "partial 16S ribosomal RNA". It matches the Rfam family "Bacterial small subunit ribosomal RNA", at positions 523 to 796 of the family's 1533-position model. The record is from RNAcentral.